RNAcentral lists this ribosomal RNA (301 nucleotides) under uncultured bacterium. Its description in RNAcentral is "partial 16S ribosomal RNA". It matches the Rfam family "Bacterial small subunit ribosomal RNA", at positions 509 to 807 of the family's 1533-position model. The record is from RNAcentral.
CAGUAGCCACGGGAAUACGAAGGGUGCAAGCGUUAAUCGGAAUUACUGGGCGUAAAGCGUGCGUAGGCGGUGAGUUAAGUCUGCUGUGAAAUCCCCGGGCUCAACCUGGGAAUGGCAGUGGAUACUGGCUCGCUAGAGUGUGUCAGAGGAUGGUGGAAUUCCCGGUGUAGCGGUGAAAUGCGUAGAGAUCGGGAGGAACAUCAGUGACGAAGGCGACCAUCUGGGGCAACACUGACGCUGAGGCACGAAAGCGUGGGGAGCAAACAGGAUUAGAUACCCCCGUAGUCCCUGUCUCUUAUAC